RNAcentral lists this ribosomal RNA (253 nucleotides) under uncultured bacterium. RNAcentral describes it as "partial 16S ribosomal RNA". It matches the Rfam family "Bacterial small subunit ribosomal RNA", at positions 524 to 776 of the family's 1533-position model. The record is from RNAcentral.
UACGAAGGGGGCUAGCGUUGCUCGGAAUCACUGGGCGUAAAGGGCGCGUAGGCGGCGCAUUUGGUCCGGCGUGAAAUUCCUGGGCUUAACCUGGGGACUGCGCUUGAGACGGGUGUGCUGGAGGGCAGGAGAGGCUCGCGGAAUUCCCGGUGUAGAGGUGAAAUUCGUAGAUAUUGGGAAGAACACCGGUGGCGAAGGCGGCGAGCUGGCCUGUACCUGACGCUGAGGCGCGACAGCGUGGGGAGCAAACAGG